RNAcentral lists this ribosomal RNA (433 nucleotides) under uncultured bacterium. Its description in RNAcentral is "partial 16S ribosomal RNA". It matches the Rfam family "Bacterial small subunit ribosomal RNA", at positions 29 to 507 of the family's 1533-position model. The record is from RNAcentral.
AACGAACGCUGGCGGCAGGCCUAACACAUGCAAGUCGAGCGAGGACUUCGGUUCUAGCGGCGGACGGGUGAGUAACGCGUGGGAAUGUUCCCUUCUCUACGGAAUAGCCCUGGGAAACUGGGAGUAAUACCGUAUACGCCCUUUUGGGGAAAGAUUUAUCGGAGAAGGAUCAGCCCGCGUUGGAUUAGGUAGUUGGUUGGGUAAUGGCCUACCAAGCCGACGAUCCAUAGCUGGUUUGAGAGGAUGAUCAGCCACACUGGGACUGAGACACGGCCCAGACUACUACGGGAGGCAGCAGUGGGGAAUCUUAGACAAUGGGGGCAACCCUGAUCUAGCCAUGCCGCGUGAGUGAUGAAGGCCUUAGGGUUGUAAAGCUCUUUCAGCUGGGAAGAUAAUGACGGUAACAGCAGAAGAAGCCCCGGCUAACUCCGUG